RNAcentral lists this transfer RNA (83 nucleotides) under Yasminevirus sp. GU-2018. It matches the Rfam family "tRNA". Rfam says of the family: Transfer RNA (tRNA) molecules are approximately 80 nucleotides in length. Lineage: Varidnaviria; Bamfordvirae; Nucleocytoviricota; Megaviricetes; Imitervirales; Mimiviridae. The record is from Rfam by way of RNAcentral.
ACCGAUUGAGCGCAGCGGGUGACGCCAUCUGAUUCAGAGUCAGUGACCGAGAGGUCGGACAGGUUCGAGUCCUGUAAUCGGUA